RNAcentral lists this ribosomal RNA (484 nucleotides) under uncultured bacterium. RNAcentral describes it as "partial 16S ribosomal RNA". It matches the Rfam family "Bacterial small subunit ribosomal RNA", at positions 30 to 507 of the family's 1533-position model. The record is from RNAcentral.
AUUGAACGCUGGCGGCAGGCCUAACACAUGCAAGUCGAGCGGAUGAAGGGAGCUUGCUCCUGGAUUCAGCGGCGGACGGGUGAGUAAUGCCUAGGAAUCUGCCUGGUAGUGGGGGAUAACGUCCGGAAACGGGCGCUAAUACCGCAUACGUCCUGAGGGAGAAAGUGGGGGAUCUUCGGACCUCACGCUAUCAGAUGAGCCUAGGUCGGAUUAGCUAGUUGGUGGGGUAAAGGCCUACCAAGGCGACGAUCCGUAACUGGUCUGAGAGGAUGACCAGUCACACUGGAACUGAGACACGGUCCAGACUCCUACGGGAGGCAGCAGUGGGGAAUAUUGGACAAUGGGCGAAAGCCUGAUCCAGCCAUGCCGCGUGUGUGAAGAAGGUCUUCGGAUUGUAAAGCACUUUAAGUUGGGAGGAACGGCAGUAAGUUAAUACCUUGCUGUUUUGACGUUACCAACAGAAUAAGCACCGGCUAACUUCGUG